This 185-nucleotide non-coding RNA is filed under the name Lachnospiraceae bacterium. RNAcentral's name for it is "6S RNA". It matches the Rfam family "6S / SsrS RNA". From Rfam's summary of the family: E. coli 6S RNA was the first non coding RNA to be sequenced, but its function was unknown until recently. Lineage: Bacteria; Bacillati; Bacillota; Clostridia; Lachnospirales; Lachnospiraceae. The record is from RNAcentral.
UCAAGCCUGGAAUGUGCGAUCCCCUAUUUUUUUCUGAACCUACAAAUGACAUAAGGGAUUCCUACAUUGCAUGUAUUGAUGUCAGGCCUCAAGCACCUACCGGAGGAAGGCAGAGAACAGGCUGCGGUCACCCACCUGGCGACGGCUAGGUGUCAGUUCUAUAGGAACGGCAUUCCGGGUUCAUA